Molecule: ribosomal RNA, 403 nt
Filed under: uncultured bacterium
Lineage: Bacteria
Description: bacterial SSU rRNA
Rfam family: Bacterial small subunit ribosomal RNA
Source: RNAcentral
AACGAACGCUGGCGGCGUGCCUAACACAUGCAAGUCGUGCGAGAAAGUUCCUUCGGGAGCGAGUAAAGCGGCGCACGGGUGAGUAACACGUAGGUAACCUGCCCCCCAGUCUGGAACAACUAGAGGAAACUCUAGCUAAUGCCGGAUGAGACCACGAUCCCUUCGGGGGUUGCGGCCAAAGAUGGCCUCUACUUGUAAGCUAUCGCUGAGGGAUGGGCCUGCGGGCCAUUAGCUUGUUGGUGAGGUAACGGCUCACCAAGGCUGUGAUGGCUAGCUGGUCUGAGAGGAUGACCAGCCACACUGGGACUGAGACACGGCCCAGACUCCUACGGGAGGCAGGCAGUGGGGAAUAUUGCGCAAUGGGCGAAAGCCUGACGCAGCGACGCCGCGUGGGUGAUGAAGG